UACGUAUGGUGCAAGCGUUAUCCGGAUUUACUGGGUGUAAAGGGAGCGUAGGCGGCCUGGCAAGCCUGAUGUGAAAUACCGGGGCCCAACCCCGGGGCUGCAUUGGGAACUGCCAGGCUGGAGUGCCGGAGAGGCAGGCGGAAUUCCCAGUGUAGCGGUGAAAUGCGUAGAUAUUAGGAGGAACACCAGUGGCGAAGGCGGCCUGCUGGACGGUGACUGACGCUGAGGCUCGAAAGCGUGGGGAGCAAACAGG
RNAcentral lists this ribosomal RNA (253 nucleotides) under uncultured bacterium. Its description in RNAcentral is "partial 16S ribosomal RNA". It matches the Rfam family "Bacterial small subunit ribosomal RNA", at positions 524 to 776 of the family's 1533-position model. The record is from RNAcentral.